UACGGAGGGUGCGAGCGUUGUCCGGAAUCACUGGGCGUAAAGCGCACGUAGGCGGCGCAGCAAGUCAGGGGUGAAAUCCCGGGGCUCAACCCCGGAACUGCCCUUGAAACUGCAGUGCUAGAAUCCUGGAGAGGCGAGUGGAAUUCCGAGUGUAGAGGUGAAAUUCGUAGAUAUUCGGAAGAACACCAGUGGCGAAGGCGACUCGCUGGACAGGUAUUGACGCUGAGGUGCGAAAGCGUGGGGAGCAAACAGG
This 253-nucleotide ribosomal RNA is filed under the name uncultured bacterium. Its description in RNAcentral is "partial 16S ribosomal RNA". It matches the Rfam family "Bacterial small subunit ribosomal RNA", at positions 524 to 776 of the family's 1533-position model. The record is from RNAcentral.